Drosophila bipectinata is the source of this 656-nucleotide long non-coding RNA. RefSeq lists it as uncharacterized. NCBI's taxonomy places the organism in Eukaryota, Metazoa, Arthropoda, Insecta, Diptera, Drosophilidae. The record is from RefSeq and is a predicted model, not a curated record.
AAUUACCCUAAAAAUAUCGAUAGCAGUAGAAAGCCAAUGCUUAAACGUCAGGGCAUUGAAGCGUUGACCUUUUCACUGAAUUCAGUUCAAUUUAUAAAAAUCUGCUAAAAUCUGAAAGCAUCAUAAUCAAGACUUUUUCGAGGAUCUAAAGCUGUGUGGUGGAUCGAAAUGGAACGCUUCCGCAAAGCUAUUGAUUUUAUAAAGCACAACCGUUUUGAAAUUCUCAAUUUUACGUGUUGCACUAUAUUAAUGAUCGCAGCCGGAGUAGUAUCAUUAGACGACUAUUUGGCGGCUGGGAUUACAGGACUAUUCCGCCUGCAACUACAAAACAAGUUGAAAUGGAAUUACCUCGCCGCCGCUGGUAGCUACACAAUUUUUUUGGCGCUGGUCUUAGCAAGUAUUUUGGUACAGCACCGCUUCCGACAUCGCUUUUAUAGAGUAGCUUAGAGUGGUCAGGUGGUACCGAACUCCAGCCUUAUUUUGGAAUUCAAAACACUCUCGGACUCGGACAAUAGGACACCAACAAAUGAGAAGAAACUUUGGAAAACGAGCCGAAAAUUAUAAAUUUGCAUCCUGUUAAGAUUCCCGUUAAGAUUCAUUUCUGUAUCCUGAAAACCUCUGUAUGUCCUUUGGCAAAAAUACAUAGUUACCCUCUA